Molecule: ribosomal RNA, 440 nt
Filed under: uncultured bacterium
Lineage: Bacteria
Description: partial 16S ribosomal RNA
Rfam family: Bacterial small subunit ribosomal RNA
Source: RNAcentral
UCUACGGGAGGCAGCAGUGGGGGAUAUUGCACAAUGGGGGGAACCCUGAUGCAGCGACGCCGCGUGGGUGAAGAAGUACUUCGUUGUGUAAAGCUCUGUCAGCAGGGAAGAAAAUGACGGUACCUGAGUAAGAAGCCCCGGCUAACUACGUGCCAGCAGCCGCGGUAAUACGUAGGGGGCAAGCGUUAUCCGGAUUUACUGGGUGUAAAGGGGGCGUAGACGGCAGUGCAAGUCUGGAGUGAAAGGCGGGGGCUCAACCCCCGGACUGCUCUGGAAACUGUACGGCUGGAGUGCAGGAGAGGUAAGUGGAAUUCCUGGUGUAGCGGUGAAAUGCUUAGAUAUCACGAAGAACCCCGAUUGCGAAGGCAGCUUACUAAACUGCGACUGACAUUGAUGCCCGAAAGCGUGGGUAGCAAACAGGAUUAGAUACCCGGGUAGUC